RNAcentral lists this ribosomal RNA (519 nucleotides) under Neozeleboria usitatum form 2. Its description in RNAcentral is "partial 16S ribosomal RNA". The record is from RNAcentral. Lineage: Eukaryota; Metazoa; Arthropoda; Insecta; Hymenoptera; Thynnidae.
UAACAAAAACAUGGUUUUUUGAUUAUAAUUUAAGAUUGGUUCUGCUCACUGAAUAAAAAAAAUUUAAAGAGCUGCAGUAUUCUGACUGUGCAAAGGUAGCAAAGUCACUUGUUUUUUAAUUGUAAACUGGAAUGAAAGAGCUGAUGAGAUAUAGACUGUCUCAAAAUAAUUUAUAGAAAUUAAAGUUUAAGUUAAAAUUCUUAAAUUAAAUUAUUAGACGAGAAGACCCUAUAGAAUUUUAUAAAUUUKGUUUAUUUUUAAAAUUAAGGCCUAAGUUKGAAGAAUUAAUAUGAUUUAUUUAAUUGGGAGGAUUUUUAAAUUUAUUUAMCUUUAAGUUUUAAAMCCAAUAAUUUUUGAUUAAUUGAUUAAAAAAGAAUUAGUAGAUUAAAUUACCUUAGGGAUAACAGCGUAAUAUUUUUGGAGAGAUCAUAUUAAUAAAAAUGUUUGCGACCUCGAUGUUGAAUUAAGAUAAAAAUUAAAUGUAGAAGUUUAAUAUUUAAGUCNNNNNNACUUUUAAAA